Molecule: ribosomal RNA, 495 nt
Filed under: uncultured bacterium
Lineage: Bacteria
Description: partial 16S ribosomal RNA
Rfam family: Bacterial small subunit ribosomal RNA
Source: RNAcentral
GACGAACGCUGGCGGCGUGCCUAAUACAUGCAAGUAGAACGCUGAAGGAGGAGCCUGCUCUUCUGGAUGAGUUGCGAACGGGUGAGUAACGCGUAGGUAACCUGCCUGGUAGCGGGGGAUAACUAUUGGAAACGAUAGCUAAUACCGCAUAAGAGUAGAUGUUGCAUGACAUUUGCUUAAAAGGUGCAAUUGCAUCACUACCAGAUGGACCUGCGUUGUAUUAGCUAGUUGGUGGGGUAACGGCUCACCAAGGCGACGAUACAUAGCCGACCUGAGAGGGUGAUCGGCCACACUGGGACUGAGACACGGCCCAGACUCCUACGGGAGGCAGCAGUAGGGAAUCUUCGGCAAUGGACGGAAGUCUGACCGAGCAACGCCGCGUGAGUGAAGAAGGUUUUCGGAUCGUAAAGCUCUGUUGUAAGAGAAGAACGAGUGUGAGAGUGGAAAGUUCACACUGUGACGGUAUCUUACCAGAAAGGGACGGCUAACUACGUG